CCAUCCCCUGCCAUGCGCCCCGCUGCACCUCCACACCCUGAACCCCCAUCUUCCCGCCCCACUGGCCCCAGUCAGGCAAAUCUUCUGUCUCCUCAGAUCCCUCCAGGAACCAGAUCAAACAGCAACCGGUGGUGCCCGCUGAGCAGUUCCUGUCCAUCCCGCGAUCCCCACAGGCGCCCCAGAGCCGCCAAGUCUCCCUCAGCAGGACAGAGACCGACAAUGACAGCGUCCCCAGCUAUGAAAAUGAGGAGCGGCCCCGUGGGGAUGACGACGACAACGACUAUAAUAACGAGAUCUACAUCCCCGGCUACGUGGAGGUGCUUCCUGACAGCGUCACCGAGACAUCCCCCACGGAGCUGGUCACCUCAGGGCCAGAGCUCAGGGACAGCGUGUCCUCAGUGGCAAUGGGGGAUGAGUACGAGAACAUGCCGGAGGCCCAGAGGGAGUCGCUGGCUGACAGCCUGGAGUACGUCAACAUGCCAGAGCCUGGAUCCAGCCUCCCUGACGCCCACUACGGCGCCAGCGACCGCGAGAGCGAGGAUGAUGGCCCUGACUAUGAGAACCUGAACCGCUGAGCACGAGGUACUGACGCCCCGGCCCCCCGACGCCUGCCCUGCUCCGGCCCCCCGACGCCUGCCCUGCUCC
RNAcentral lists this long non-coding RNA (645 nucleotides) under Gopherus agassizii (Agassiz's desert tortoise). RNAcentral describes it as "lncRNA (ENSGAGG00000011851.1)". Lineage: Eukaryota; Metazoa; Chordata; Testudines; Testudinidae. The record is from RNAcentral.